RNAcentral lists this ribosomal RNA (220 nucleotides) under uncultured soil bacterium. Its description in RNAcentral is "partial 16S ribosomal RNA". It matches the Rfam family "Bacterial small subunit ribosomal RNA", at positions 26 to 247 of the family's 1533-position model. The record is from RNAcentral.
AGAUUGAACGCUGGCGGCAUGCUUUACACAUGCAAGUCGAACGGGCUGUUGGGGCAACCUGGCAGUCAGUGGCGAACGGGUGAGUAAUGCAUCGGAACGUGUCCCGUAGUGGGGGAUAACCCGGCGAAAGCCGGACUAAUACCGCAUAUGCUCUGAGGAGGAAAGUGGGGGAUCCGACAAGGACCUCACGCUAUGGGAGCGGCCGAUGUCCGAUUAGCUU